GAUGAAGAACGUAGUGAAAUGCGAUAAGUAGUGUGAAUUGCAGAAUUCAGUGAAUCAUCGAAUCUUUGAACGCACAUUGCGCCCUUUGGUAUUCCAAAGGGCAUGCCUGUUCGAGCGUCAUUUGUACCCUCAAGCUUUGCUUGGUGUUGGGCGUCUUGUCUCUAGCUUUGCUGGAGACUCGCCUUAAAGUAAUUGGCAGCCGGCCUACUGGUUUCGGAGCGCAGCACAAGUCGCACUCUCUAUCAGCAAAGGUCUAGCAUCCAUUAAGCCUUUUUUUCAACUUUUGACCUCGGAUCAGGUAGGGAUACCCGCUGAACUUAAGCAUAUUAAUAAGCGGAGGA
RNAcentral lists this unclassified non-coding RNA (341 nucleotides) under soil metagenome. Its description in RNAcentral is "partial contains 5.8S ribosomal RNA, internal transcribed spacer 2, and large subunit ribosomal RNA". The stretch from base 1 to 120 matches the Rfam family "5.8S ribosomal RNA", at positions 35 to 154 of the family's 154-position model. The record is from RNAcentral.